RNAcentral lists this ribosomal RNA (478 nucleotides) under uncultured bacterium. RNAcentral's name for it is "partial 16S ribosomal RNA". It matches the Rfam family "Bacterial small subunit ribosomal RNA", at positions 28 to 523 of the family's 1533-position model. The record is from RNAcentral.
GACGAACGCUGGCGGCGUGCUUAACACAUGCAAGUCGAACGGUAAGGCCCUUCGGGGUACACGAGUGGAGAACGGGUGAGUAACACGUGGGUGAUCUGCCCUGCACUUCGGGAUAAGCCUGGGAAACUGGGUCUAAUACCGGAUAGGACCACUGCCUGCAAGGGUGGUGGUGGAAAGCAUUUGCGGUGUGGGAUGGGCCCGCGGCCUAUCAGCUUGUUGGUGGGGUGAUGGCCUACCAAGGCGACGACGGGUAGCCGGCCUGAGAGGGUGACCGGCCACACUGGGACUGAGAUACGGCCCAGACUCCUACGGGAGGCAGCAGUGGGGAAUAUUGCACAAUGGGCGCAAGCCUGAUGCAGCGACGCCGCGUGAGGGUUGACGGCCUUCGGGUUGUAAACCUCUUUCAGCACCGACGAAGCGCAAGUGACGGUAGGUGCAGAAGAAGGACCGGCUAACUACGUGCCAGCCGCCGCGGUAA